Molecule: signal recognition particle RNA, 97 nt
Filed under: Shewanellaceae bacterium
Lineage: Bacteria; Pseudomonadati; Pseudomonadota; Gammaproteobacteria; Alteromonadales; Shewanellaceae
Description: signal recognition particle sRNA small type
Rfam family: Bacterial small signal recognition particle RNA
About the family: The signal recognition particle (SRP) is a universally conserved ribonucleoprotein involved in the co-translational targeting of proteins to membranes. Archaeal SRP consists of a 7S RNA and homologues of the eukaryotic SRP19 and SRP54 proteins. In most bacteria, the SRP consists of a 4.5S RNA and the Ffh protein (a homologue of the eukaryotic SRP54 protein).
Source: RNAcentral
UCUUGGUUAUCUCGCAAUGAAAACUUGCUAACCCGGUCAGAUCUGGAAGGAAGCAGCCGUCGUAAGUGGAUCAUGUGCCGAGAAUCAGCUGGGAGGC